UUAUACCUACGGGGGGCAGCAGUGGGGAAUAUUGCACAAUGGGCGAAAGCCUGAUGCAGCAACGCCGCGUGAACGAAGAAGGCUCUUGGGUCGUAAAGUUCUGUUCUGAGGGAAGAAGAAAGUGACGGUACCUCAGGAGAAAGCCCCGGCUAACUACGUGCCAGCAGCCGCGGUAAUACGUAGGGGGCAAGCGUUAUCCGGAUUUAUUGGGUUUAAAGGGUGCGUAGGCGGUCGGAUAAGUUAGAGGUGAAAUCCCGAGGCUCAACUUCGGAAUUGCCUCUGAUACUGUUCGGCUAGAGAGUAGU
This 305-nucleotide ribosomal RNA is filed under the name uncultured bacterium. RNAcentral describes it as "bacterial SSU rRNA". It matches the Rfam family "Bacterial small subunit ribosomal RNA", at positions 333 to 652 of the family's 1533-position model. The record is from RNAcentral.